UACGGAGGGUGCAAGCGUUAAUCGGAAUUACUGGGCGUAAAGCGCACGCAGGCGGUUGGAUAAGCCAGAUGUGAAAGCCCCGAGCUCAACUUGGGAAUAGCAUUUGGAACUGUCCGGCUAGAGUCUUGUAGAGGGGGGUAGAAUUCCAGGUGUAGCGGUGAAAUGCGUAGAGAUCUGGAGGAAUACCGGUGGCGAAGGCGGCCCCCUGGACAAAGACUGACGCUCAGGUGCGAAAGCGUGGGGAGCAAACAGG
This 253-nucleotide ribosomal RNA is filed under the name uncultured Aeromonas sp. RNAcentral's name for it is "partial 16S ribosomal RNA". It matches the Rfam family "Bacterial small subunit ribosomal RNA", at positions 524 to 776 of the family's 1533-position model. The record is from RNAcentral. Lineage: Bacteria; Pseudomonadati; Pseudomonadota; Gammaproteobacteria; Aeromonadales; Aeromonadaceae.